Molecule: long non-coding RNA, 338 nt
Filed under: Homo sapiens (human)
Lineage: Eukaryota; Metazoa; Chordata; Mammalia; Primates; Hominidae
Description: non-protein coding lnc-PCSK6-1:8
Source: RNAcentral
GUGGCCUGGGGGCACUGGGCCCCUGGGUCCUCCAGACCACUGACAUCUCUUUAAAUGACUCAGCUCGGCCCUGGUUCUCGUCUCACCAGUGGCAUUGUCUGUGUGACGAGAACUGCUUGAGCUGUGCAGGCUCCAGCAGGAACUGUAGCAGGUGUAAGACGGGCUUCACACAGCUGGGGACCUCCUGCAUCACCAACCACACGUGCAGCAACGCUGACGAGACAUUCUGCGAGAUGGUGAAGUCCAACCGGCUGUGCGAACGGAAGCUCUUCAUUCAGUUCUGCUGCCGCACGUGCCUCCUGGCCGGGUAAGGGUGCCUAGCUGCCCACAGAGGGCAG